CGGCGGACGGGUGACCGUAACACGUGGAUAACCUACCUAUAAGACUGGGAUAACUUCGGGAAACCGGAGCUAAUACCGGAUAAUAUAUUGAACCGCAUGGUUCAAUAGUGAAAGACGGUUUUGCUGUCACUUAUAGAUGGAUCCGCGCCGCAUUAGCUAGUUGGUAAGGUAACGGCUUACCAAGGCAACGAUGCGUAGCCGACCUGAGAGGGUGAUCGGCCACACUGGAACUGAGACACGGUCCAGACUCCUACGGGAGGCAGCAGGC
Molecule: ribosomal RNA, 268 nt
Filed under: uncultured Staphylococcus sp.
Lineage: Bacteria; Bacillati; Bacillota; Bacilli; Caryophanales; Staphylococcaceae
Description: partial 16S ribosomal RNA
Rfam family: Bacterial small subunit ribosomal RNA
Source: RNAcentral